This 26-nucleotide non-coding RNA is filed under the name Rattus norvegicus (Norway rat). Lineage: Eukaryota; Metazoa; Chordata; Mammalia; Rodentia; Muridae. The record is from RNAcentral.
CAACCCUCCGGCUUAUCGUGCGUGCU